Molecule: long non-coding RNA, 1824 nt
Organism: Cebus imitator (Panamanian white-faced capuchin)
Lineage: Eukaryota; Metazoa; Chordata; Mammalia; Primates; Cebidae
Exons: 3
Source: RefSeq, a predicted model, not a curated record
AUGUGAUCUGCCUGCCUUGGCCUCCCAAAGUGCUGGGAUUACAGGUGCCUGAAAUAGACCCAAGUGGAUAUAAAUGUCUGAACUCAGUUCUGGACGAGAGAUACAGAUUUGGAAUGCACCAACAUGCAGAUGGUAAUACCCCAUAUGAGUAGAUAAGAUCACCCAGGGAGAUGGCCUGUAAUGACAGCCUAUAACAUGUCAGAUCUCCAGUCUCUCAAGAUCUCCAACCUGACCAGUGAUAACCUCAUUCAUGGAUAAAAUGGACUCUACCCAGUUUGAACUUCACACAUGGUUUGUGUGCGUGUAGGGCCCUUUUAUGUCUCUCAGAUCCUGCUGACCCUCUAUUCUCACUGUGCCAGACCAUGACCCUCCAGCUCACUUCUUUCCUCUAUUGGCAGGGAAGACACUUAUGGGAUAGAACAAGUUCUCCCAGGACAAAUAUACAUAGUAUGAUUGUGGCUACCAGGAGAUUUUUUUCCCCCGAUUUUAUUGCAUCUCUACCCUUGUAAAAAACACAUUCAUUUGAUCAUUUGACCACCCCUAACUACCACCUUAUUUAUUAUCUUCUACUUAUUGCCAAAACUCCCCUAGCCUCCGUCCUUGCCAUCCCUCUCUCUCAAUGCACACAUAUACAGAUUUCCCAGCUCUUUCAUUUUCAUCAAUGGCACCAUCACUGUUCCAAUUUCUUAUACCACAAGUCAUAUCUCCUUCCUUCAUGCUUAUAUAUAACUAGUUGCUCAUUAUUAAAUUAAUUUUUUUUCUCCUUCAGUCUAUUCCUCUCUCUAGCCAGUAUAUAAUUUUUCAGCUUAUUCCUGACUUGCUGUAACAGCUUUCUAGUUGAACUCUGUGGUUCUAAUUUCUACCCACUUACCUUGUAGCUUACAUUCAGACUUCUUUCCUAAAACUGUGUGUUUGUUACACACUGCAGUGGCUACCUUUUUUUCUAGCCAUAUCAAAUCCAAAAUGUACUGCUUAGUUUUAUAAUCCUGACUCAAAAAGCUUCUAUUUGUUCAUUCUCUUUUGUUUCAUUCCUAAUCAUUGUGAACCUUCUAACUCUGGUCAAGCUAGCCAUCAUCACUGUUCCAAGAAAAUGCUUACCUCGUGGUGCUCCUGGAAUAUCUUUAUCCUUUCUCCUUUCUAAAUCCCACCCACAUUUUAAGACCAAGUUUAAGUCUCAUUCCUCCAUUAACAGUGGAGAUGUACAACUUCUGUUCUGACCAGUCUUCUCUGCUGAACACUGACAGUUCAUGCACUAAAUAAUUCAGGACUAAAUACUUUCUUGUAGUGAUCACUAUUGCUUCAUGAGACUAUGACCAUUCCUUAAUGGCAAGAAUCACAUUUUAUACUUCUAUCACUCUCUUUCUGCCUCACAAAGGGCAAAAGCCCUAGUAUAAUAAUUACCCAUUAUCCAUCUGCCUAAAAUGUAACAUAAUUUCACUGCAUUAUUUUACCAACACCAUACUUGAAUCUAACGAAACACAUGCAUCUAAUGCAGUCUUCUUAUAUUGACUGAAGGCCUAAUGCAGGUAAUUUCUCUACCUAAACCAAAUGCUACAGGUGUGUUUUCUCUAGUGGUUGUCUGCACUGCAGCCAUUUUGUUCCUAUUACUGCCUAUUUUUAAAAUAAGAAUUCAGUAUAUAUCUGAGAUCAUUUUUUUCUUUAUUCACCCAAGUGGGAGAAGUAAGCAUGAACAGGGAACUCUUCCCUCAUAUAUUCCACUGGCAUACCUAUAGAACUCCUCUACAAAGGCAGUUUCCUAAUUAAAGAAAGAAUCAAAGAAUCAAAUAAUGACUGAAGGGGCGACUUCCUCUUGAAGAAAUAUUU